CCUACGGGAGGCAGCAGUGGGGAAUCUUGUGCAAUGGGCGAAAGCCUGACACAGCAACGCCGCGUGCGGGAAGAAGGCCUUCGGGUCGUAAACCGCUUUCAGCAGGAACGAAAAUGACGGUACCUGCAGAAGAAGGUGCGGCCAACUACGUGCCAGCAGCCGCGGUGACACGUAGGCACCAAGCGUUGUCCGGAUUUAUUGGGCGUAAAGAGCUCGUAGGCGGUUCAGCAAGUCGGGUGUGAAAACUCUGGGCUUAACCCAGAGCCUGCACCCGAAACUGCUGUGACUAGAGUUCGGUAGGGGAGCGGGGAAUUCCUGGUGUAGCGGUGAAAUGCGCAGAUAUCAGGAGGAACACCGGUGGCGAAGGCGCCGCUCUGGGCCGAAACUGACGCUGAGGAGCGAAAGCGUGGGUAGCAAACAGGAUUAGAUACCCUGGUAGUCCACGCCGUAAACGUUGGGCACUAGGUGUGGGUCUCUAACCAACGAGAUCCGCGCCGUCGCUAACGCAUUAAGUGACCCGCCUGGGGAGUACGGUCGCAAGACUAAAACUCAAAGGAAUUGACGG
RNAcentral lists this ribosomal RNA (565 nucleotides) under uncultured Actinomycetes bacterium. RNAcentral describes it as "bacterial SSU rRNA". It matches the Rfam family "Bacterial small subunit ribosomal RNA", at positions 338 to 916 of the family's 1533-position model. The record is from RNAcentral. Lineage: Bacteria; Bacillati; Actinomycetota; Actinomycetes.